RNAcentral lists this ribosomal RNA (83 nucleotides) under Salvator merianae (Argentine black and white tegu). The record is from RNAcentral. Lineage: Eukaryota; Metazoa; Chordata; Lepidosauria; Squamata; Teiidae.
GUCUGAUUUCAUAAGCUAAGCGAGUUUGAUCUGCUUUGUAUUUGGAUGGGAGACCACUCGGAAAUAUCAAAUGGGAUAAGGCU